Molecule: small nucleolar RNA, 134 nt
Organism: Callithrix jacchus (white-tufted-ear marmoset)
Lineage: Eukaryota; Metazoa; Chordata; Mammalia; Primates; Cebidae
Gene: SNORA71
Rfam family: Small nucleolar RNA SNORA71
About the family: The members of this family belong to the H/ACA class of snoRNAs which bind a number of proteins (including dyskerin, Gar1p and Nop10p) to form snoRNP complexes. This class of snoRNAs are thought to guide the sites of modification of uridines to pseudouridines by forming direct base pairing interactions with substrate RNAs. This family includes U71 (SNORA71), ACA39 (SNORA39) and ACA60 (SNORA60).
Source: Ensembl
CCCUGUAUUCAAAAGUGAUCAUGGGCUGCCCAUGCCCUGGUCAUUCAUAGUGCAGGGAAAGGAAUCAAUGAAAGUACUUCCCCGUGCUUGGAGAGUUCACUCGUGUCCCUUGCAAACUCUGGAGCUUUCGUACA